GCACUGGUGUGGGACAGACAGACAGACAGACCAGUGGGUACACAGCAGGGCUCCGCAUGGUAACAGAGACAGGGAAUCUCACCGCCCAGCAUCCUUCCUUCUGCACCCUAACUGUCCAUAGGCUGGCCCAGGACACACCCGCUCCUUGGAAUCUGGAGCCUGCGCUGGGGUUGAGCAGAGGUGACUGGAGGGAAGGCACUGUCUGGCUUCUCGGCCUCAGUUCUCCUGGCUCCAUUAUGAGAGGGUUCCAGCCAUGACCUGAUGGGUGCUCAGGUUCCAUCUGUCCCAGAUUAGUGACACAGAGAGUUUGCCAUGGACCAAUCAAUGCAAUUUCCAGGGCCACCACACUGAGUCCAGAUGUUCCCCUCAGAAAGCCUGCUGAGCUGCCCAGAAUACCAGGGACAGCUGUUGACCCCAAAUGCCCUGGUGUUCCCCUGCCAAGAUCCCGUAGGCAGUGGUUCCCUGAUGUGGUGACCCCACAUCACCCAGGCGUGCCUUGAACCUGAGGUAUGGGGAGGCCCCUACCCCAGGCUCACCCUAGUCUGGUUACCAGACACAGCCGAUGAAGGCUGGCACGAGGCCACCCGCCUGCUCACCAGCCCUGAGGAGAGGAGAGGCUGGCUUGGCACAGGGGAUCAGAGGACGCUCUUCCUUUGCAGAGGCCCCUGAAGAUAAGUGGGCUCCCAGCAGGUCCUAACACCUGCUUCUCUGUCCCUGGAUAUGGAUGGGACAGAACAAUUGGGUGAACACUGAUCUGAUGCAUCACGACGGGGCAGCUAUAGGGAAGGACACUGCCCCAGCCAGGAGCAGAAAGCGCAGACUCCCUUAUAUCCAGCAUAGUGUUCCAUCUGCUCCUGCUAUCUCCUCAGGGCAAUGUGGGAAGCACCCCUUGCUCACGGCUACUUUGGGGAUCCUCCUUAUUUAUCCUCCUCCCCUCCCAUUGUCCAACUUGGUCCUUGACUUAGGCUCUGUCCACACAGCUACCCUAAGACCAACGUUAUUCUCAAAGUACAUGAAUUAUUGGGCUGCUCUGACCACAGCCAGACCUCCAGCUAGGCCUAGUCAGUUCAGAGGGGAUCAUCACUUCAGAGGUACCUAGUGUCUCUACCUGCUUCCCCUAAUGAUACUUGCUGGUCCUCAAGCUCCGCCGCACACCCUCUAGGCAAUCGCAGCCCUACCUCCCUUCCUCCUUACCUUCAGGGUGAUGGGAAUUGGUGGGCACCACAGUGUGUGUGUGUGUGUGUGUGCGUGUGUGUAAGAACUCUGGAGUUCCCAAGCCCAUGCUUGAGAAGGACAGCAGCUGGGGCCUCACCUCACAGAGCCCUUGGACUUUCAAGUCUUGAAUUUGUAACCCAUCCAUCCCAGAAUCUGAGCCCAGAUAGGACAUAUGUGUUGGGGUAUUGGACACUAUAGAACAUCACAAUGGAGGCUCUGGGCUCCAGGCCCCAUCUGGUACUCUACUACAAUUCCUAAGCAUUCAGAAUUGACCUAUGCGGGAACCAAAACCACAGACAGCUUGAAACCCUUGGUUACCCAGUCCUGUCCCGUCCUCUGCCUUCCCCAGGGAUGCUUAAAGAUGGUUCUGGACUCCCCUUAUCUUGCACAGGACAGAUGCUGUUGCUAUGGGAUGGCGAGGAGGAGGAAACGGCAUGUAGAUGUUGAUGUGCGUUAACAGAAGCUGGCGUCUAGGUAUGACUGUGUCUGUGGUGUUAGGAAGGCUGGGGAUGCUGACAUACCUCAGGGAGUGACGUGACUCCUCAGGCAGGGUGAGGAGCAGCUGAGGUGCAGUUACCUCGAUGUAACCAUCCGAGGUUACACAGGGAACCCCUCCCACCAUGUGGGCAGAGGACCCUCUCAUCCUCCUACUCACUGCUUCUCUGCCUAUCCAUCGCUUGCCUGUGAAUUGAGGCUACUCACGCCUUAGGCUCCUUGCCCUGGACUCCUGAGAUGGACCAGUUUGCACCCCUUCCCUUUGCAGAGUCCUCAGCCCCAUGUCUAACACUCCUUAAACUCGGGCCCCAAGCUGGAAAACUCUUGUCAACUUCAGUUUCUUCCUCUCGGGGGCUUCCUGGACAGCCCACACUCAGGACCACUGCGCAUCUGAGGCUUCCCAUUGGCCAGCUCCAUGCAGAGAACCAACCGCUUUUUCACGCCACGCCCACAGGUAGUAUUGCACUGAAAGGGGCCAGACAGGAUGGGUCAGUGACCCCGAAGCCCAGAAAACCAGAACCUGACACAGCACCCCUGGUGGCCAAGGCUCCGUCAAUGAUAUCUGGGUAAAAGGCAAGGGCUUUCAACAGGGGAGAUUGGCUGACGACUCUUUGUUCGGUAACCGUUUGGCCCCAUCCAGAUUUGAUCAAAAGCAAUCAGGCCCAAACCAUCUGUUUUGAAACAAAUUGGCUAAUGUAAUUUGGCCAAGGAUGAUCAGGCCAAAAUCAAUUCUGCAGAAAGCAAUUUGGCCCAAGAUUAUUUAGUUAACAGUGGCCUGCCUGAAAAACACUGACUGAGAGCAAUUGUCUGAAAUGGCAAGUUAGUGACAAGGACAUGUUGGGGCAGAAGACAAAUGGGUUGUGAUGGCGAAAGGUCAUCAAGACCCUGUGGGCUGAAAGUGUGUGCAACCAACACACCCUGUCUCUUUGUGUCCACCAGAGCAGGGCUCAGAGAGAAACUCUGCGGGGGUCCUGCAGACAUCCCCGGGGGAGGAGACAGGAAGCGGCCUUACUAUCUCUUUGACCUUUUUUUCCAAGUUAAUUAUUAGUUAAUUGUUCUUCAUAGCUUGUCAUGAAUUCCUCCCUGUGACCUGCUGUUGACACUCGGGCCACUUCUCCCCAUCCCCUCUGUGAUCCAGAGAGAGGCUCCACGCAGACCCCAGGAUACUCACCCUCUCCCAGUCUUGAGCCAGCCAGUGGGCCGGGCAGUUCUUGUCCCCACAGGGGUGGAUGGCCAGAGGCUUCGUCUCCAUCUGGCACUGAGACUCCGGGACUACCCGUCCAUCGCUGGUCUUACAGUACACGUGCCUGAUCGUCCGGCCCUGCCCGCAGCUUCCGCUGCACUGGAAUAAGGAGCCACAGGGCCCGGUUGAAGCAGGGACCAUCCCGCAAGCCCCCGACCCGCAUCAUCCCCGAAAAUAACAUGUUCAGUGCAAAACACACACAGAGAAAAGCACAGCUCAAAAGGUCACCCGAGCCCCCGCCGCAAGAGAGGACCCUACCUAGCAGAUGAGCAGCCCUGUUCCAGAUGAGAGAAACAGAUGGAGACAGAGACAGGAAGGGAAAGCCUGGUGCUGGGGUCACACAGUUUCUCGUCCUCGGAGCAGCGGAUGUCUCUGGUCACGACGCUGCGCUCUCCACACUUGGCUGUACACUGCGAGGAAGCCGGGGUGGGAAGCCUCAUGACGGGUCUGUUCUCGGGCACGGGCCUCCACCCCAGCAGCGGCACACUCUCACCUCUGACCACUCAGACAUCUCCCACUGUGGCCCACAGGCCGGGUUGCGGCAUAUCUUGCGCUCCUCGGGCCGCACGGCCUCCGUGGCCUCACACAGGUCGCUGUACACGGAGCUGUCAAAGCCAGGGGACAGCAUCUUCCAGCAGCGCACGAUGCGGAACUGAUGGCCCUCACCACAGGUUCAUACUCCAGUGUCCCGGAGCCCCAGACCUCAUUUGCCCUGCGGGGUCACACAGGUGACCGUGGCCCCUUCUGGACUCUGAUUCUUCGUGGCAAUGGUGGAAGUCCAGCUCUACACCCAGAGAAGGCGUCUCCAGUGUGCAGGGUGACCACCCAUCUCCAACCCUAUGCUGUGUGGGGUUAUAAAAGACUGUGUUCCUCCAUGCAGGUCCUCUGAGAAGACAUACUUGGAGAAGAAUCUAAGUCAAGUGCAGGCCAGCUCUGUGGUCUUUUGUUCCAGAAAGGAACAAAUGCUCAGAUGUAGCAGCCGGAAGAAAAGAAGGAAUGUGGCCAUGUUGGGGAGCCAGAAAUACAUGGCUCCUUGGAAGCAACACCAAGGCUCCGCUUCUGCCUUGAAGACAAGAUAAGAGGCAUGGGGGCUGGAAAGAUGAGGCUCCACUCAUAUUUCAGGGAUGUGGGUCUUCCCUAGCUUAUAGAGAUCCUAGCCUUGUAGGUCAGCCCAGGUACAAAGACAGCCCUCUAGAAUAGGGAGCAAUGUGGAAAACACAUUGUGGUGGAAAGUAUUUAGUGACCAUCCCAUGUGCUCUGCUCUGCUCCCUACAUGGUCCCACAGCUUAGCUCAUAACAGGAGCAAAGCAGAGCGUGUGCGUGUGUGUGCACACGCACACACACACACGCGCACACACACACACACACACACACACACACACACACACACGCUCAUUCUGUCACCCAGCUGGGUGCUCAAGGACAGGUACCUGGGCUGGCACUCCCUCCCAGCGCAGAAUUCGUGGACAGGCUCAGGACGGGUCAGGGCAUCACAGUAGCUGUCAUCCACCUCCACACCAUCAUAGCGAACACACAUGGCAUACGUGGACAUGACUCCUAGGUUUGGAGCAACGCGAAAGUCCGUAAACUGUGUGGUUAACAGCAAAUACCUUACAGUCUUGGAUGGGUCACAUGACCACUCAGAGAUCUCUGCUUCUUGGGUUGGGGAUAGUAAUAACCUAGAUCUGGAGGUGGGGAAGCUCUGUGGACCAGAGUCUCAGGAUCUGACCUCUGACCUCUUUCUUUGCCCAGCUAAGGCAUCUCGCUCACCUGCUACAAACCUAGAUGAGCCUUUUGGAGGCAGAGUAAGAUACACCCAGGUAUUCUGAUGUGCAUCUGUCUGUUAAACCCCACUGUAGGAUAUGAGCAGGCAAGCAGGUAGGAAAAAACAAAAACAUUGCAGCACUUGAUAGCCCUGCUCAAGAUAUCAGACUAGGAGCCCCAGCUCUUACUGAAGAUCUCCUAACUAGCACCUCCAUGUCUUUAACUACCUCUGUGGCUUUUCUGGGAUUCCUGAAUUCUAAAAUCACUUGGGAAUAGGGAGGGAUACACACAUUAAAAAUAAAAAGACUUCUCCCAA
This is a long non-coding RNA of Mesocricetus auratus (golden hamster), 5033 nucleotides long. RefSeq lists it as uncharacterized. The transcript has 5 exons. The record is from RefSeq and is a predicted model, not a curated record. NCBI's taxonomy places the organism in Eukaryota, Metazoa, Chordata, Mammalia, Rodentia, Cricetidae.